This 648-nucleotide long non-coding RNA is filed under the name Chinchilla lanigera (long-tailed chinchilla). RNAcentral describes it as "lncRNA (ENSCLAG00000028356.1)". Lineage: Eukaryota; Metazoa; Chordata; Mammalia; Rodentia; Chinchillidae. The record is from RNAcentral.
CACUGCAUGUCUUUGUUGUGGCCUUUUGUGAUUCAGAUAUUCAAAAGCAAUAACAGUUUCCCUUUGAAGGCACAGCAAAGCCUUAUCCUUUAUCACAAUUUUCAGCACUUUGCUAAGAAGGACUUUCAAUAGUUGUGAUGAGAAGAAAACCACCUGUCCGUAGUCCCUGGCAAAAUCCUCCUGGAGACCAUUUGGAAGCCCUGAGGAAGGACUCUUUUCUUCUUUCCAUCAGCCUGGGGCUGCCAGCACAUGAUGCCAUGCUGCCAGCGACCAUCAGAUGGCAAGAGUGCAGAGCAAGAGAUCCUGUUCAAGAGUGACAGCUGAGAACACAGUGCCUGGAGUCCCAGUCUGGAGAGUGUGCGAGUCCCGCUGAAGACAAGAGCCAAAGAACAGUUUGGUAAGAGUGGCCUACAGUUGCAUUCUGCUGGGCUGCUGCUCCCUGGAGACCUCCCACCUCUGGCUCUGGGGUUCAACUCAAUCCGUGGUAGGCCUUGGGAACCUUGCAUGUACCCUAAAAAGUUACUUAUGUGUGUUUUUAAAAUAAAUGCAUUUACUCAUUGGUUUCUUAAUAUUUUAAUCCUUGAGAAAUUUAAGAUGGUGAAAUGAGAGUGCUGGAAAAAGUAAGAAUCACUGUUUUUGGUUCAGUAA